Molecule: ribosomal RNA, 317 nt
Filed under: Clostridioides difficile
Lineage: Bacteria; Bacillati; Bacillota; Clostridia; Peptostreptococcales; Peptostreptococcaceae
Description: bacterial SSU rRNA
Rfam family: Bacterial small subunit ribosomal RNA
Source: RNAcentral
UUUAUUUGAGAGUUUGAUCCUGGCUCAGGAUGAACGCUGGCGGCGUGCCUAACACAUGCAAGUUGAGCGAUUUACUUCGGUAAAGAGCGGCGGACGGGUGAGUAACGCGUGGGUAACCUACCCUGUACACACAGAUAACAUACCGAAAGGUAUGCUAAUACGGGAUAAUAUAUUUGAGAGGCAUCUCUUGAAUAUCAAAGGUGAGCCAGUACAGGAUGGACCCGCGUCUGAUUAGCUAGUUGGUAAGGUAACGGCUUACCAAGGCGACGAUCAGUAGCCGACCUGAGAGGGUGAUCGGCCACAUUGGAACUGAGACA